RNAcentral lists this ribosomal RNA (428 nucleotides) under bacterium. Its description in RNAcentral is "partial 16S ribosomal RNA". It matches the Rfam family "Bacterial small subunit ribosomal RNA", at positions 355 to 776 of the family's 1533-position model. The record is from RNAcentral.
UGGGGAAUCUUGCGCAAUGGGCGAAAGCCUGACGCAGCGACGCCGCGUGAGGGAAGAAGGCCUUCGGGUUGUAAACCUCUUUCAGGAGGGACGAAGCCACUCGGGUUAAUACCCCAGAGGGUGACGGUACCUCCAGAAGAAGCCCCGGCUAACUACGUGCCAGCAGCCGCGGUAAUACGUAGGGGGCAAGCGUUGUCCGGAAUUAUUGGGCGUAAAGCGCGUGUAGGCGGCCAGAUAAGUCCGCUGUGAAAUCUCGAGGCUCAACUUCGAGCUGUCGGUGGAAACUGUCUGGCUAGAGUCCGGAAGAGGAGAAUGGAAUUCCUGGUGUAGCGGUGAAAUGCGCAGAUAUCAGGAAGAACACCCGUGGCGAAGGCGGUUCUCUGGGACGGUACUGACGCUGAGACGCGAAAGCGUGGGGAGCGAACAGG